GAUCUGGGCUAGUUAAAAAAUGACUUCGGGGAGGCAGCCAUCUUGCUGUUGCCGCGUGCUGGUGUUGGAGGACCCUCCCUGCUUCAGAUUUACCAACAGCAUGAAUCAAGAAAAGUUAGCCAAACUUCAGGCUCAGGUCCGGAUAGGGGGCAAGGGUACAGCUCGCAGAAAGAAGAAGGUGGUAUACAGAACAGCUACAGCUGAUGACAAAAAGCUUCAGAGUUCUCUAAAAAAACUGGCUGUGAAUAAUAUAGCUGGUAUUGAAGAGGUGAACAUGAUUAAAGAUGAUGGGACAGUUAUUCAUUUCAACAAUCCCAAAGUCCAAGCUUCCCUUUCUGCUAACACCUUUGCAAUUACUGGUCAUGCAGAAGCCAAACCAAUCACAGAAAUGUUUCCUGGAAUAUUAAGUCAGCUUGGUGCUGACAGUUUAACAAGCCUUAGGAAGUUAGCUGAACAGUUCCCACGGCAAGUCUUGGACAGUAAAGCACCAAAACCAGAAGACAUUGAUGAGGAGGAUGAUGAUGUUCCAGAUCUUGUAGAAAAUUUUGAUGAGGCAUCAAAGAAUGAAGCUAACUAAAAGUUUGGUUUUUGGAAGCUGGCAUGGACUAGAUUUAACAAAUCAGCUAUGUGGUUCCAAAGUUUUACAGACACAGAGAACAUCACCUGUUACUAGUUCAGUAAUAUAAAUAUUUUGUAUAUUAAUAAUGCUGUUUGUUCAGCAUUUUUCAGUCAUUUGAUUUUGCAUUUUGCACUUCCUCCCAGGAUAUUUUUUUGGUCAAAAUAUGAAGUAUUGGUGCAGUUUGAGGGUGUUUUGUUUUUUUGAUUCCUGGUUUUUUUGUUUUUUGUUUGGGGUAUUUUUGGUGUAUGUAUGUUUAUGUAUGUGUGUGGGUAUGUGUAUAUACAGUGGAGAGCAAAUUGGAAAACAGUUCUAUUUAUCCUCCUCCCUCCCCAGUAGAAA
Macaca mulatta (Rhesus monkey) is the source of this 958-nucleotide non-coding RNA. NCBI's taxonomy places the organism in Eukaryota, Metazoa, Chordata, Mammalia, Primates, Cercopithecidae. The record is from RefSeq and is a predicted model, not a curated record.